UACGUAGGGGGCGAGCGUUGUCCGGAUUUAUUGGGCGUAAAGAGCGUGUAGGCGGCCAGGUAGGUCUGCUGUGAAAACUCGAGGCUCAACCUCGAGACGUCGGCGGAAACCAUCUGGCUAGAGUCCGGAAGAGGAGAGUGGAAUUCCUGGUGUAGCGGUGAAAUGCGCAGAUAUCAGGAAGAACACCCGUGGCGAAGGCGGCUCUCUGGGACGGUACUGAAGCUGAGACGCGAAAGCGUGGGGAGCGAACAGG
RNAcentral lists this ribosomal RNA (253 nucleotides) under uncultured bacterium. RNAcentral's name for it is "partial 16S ribosomal RNA". It matches the Rfam family "Bacterial small subunit ribosomal RNA", at positions 524 to 776 of the family's 1533-position model. The record is from RNAcentral.